ACGCUCGACACCUACGGGGGGCGAGCAGUGGAGGAAUAUGGUCAAUGGGGACCGGCUAGCCUCGAACCACGCCAACGUAGCGUGAAGGAAGUAGAAGGUCGUCUAUAGGGUCGUAACUUACUUUAUAUAAGAAGAAAGUAGCAGUAUGUAUACUAGUUUCGUAUAGUAUUAUAUGAAUAAGGAUCGGCCAACUCCAUGCAAGCAGCCGCGGUAAUCUGAGCGGGCUGGCAAGGC
This 234-nucleotide ribosomal RNA is filed under the name uncultured bacterium. Its description in RNAcentral is "partial 16S ribosomal RNA". It matches the Rfam family "Bacterial small subunit ribosomal RNA", at positions 328 to 537 of the family's 1533-position model. The record is from RNAcentral.